CGCGUAGGCGGUUCCGAAAGUGGCGCGUGAAAUCCCUCGGCUCAACCGAGGAAGUGCGUGCCAAACUUCGGUUCUAGAGGACGGUAGGGGGGACUGGAACUCUCGGUGGAGCGGUGAAAUGCGUAGAUAUCGAGAGGAACACCGGCGGCGAAGGCGAGUCCCUGGUCCGUUUCUGACGCUGAGGCGCGAAAGCGUGGGUAGCAAACA
Molecule: ribosomal RNA, 207 nt
Filed under: uncultured bacterium
Lineage: Bacteria
Description: partial 16S ribosomal RNA
Rfam family: Bacterial small subunit ribosomal RNA
Source: RNAcentral